GGAGCACAGGACGUCCACGGGGAAGGAGGGUUGAUCCCCGGAGCGCUGGUGGCAGUGGCCACGUCCAUCCCAUCCCACCCCCUUGCAUCACUCACCCAGGGUCCUGGUUUCCGUGUGUAAGAAUUUGCCAGGGUUCUCAACACCAUAGAGCCACCUUGAAAGGUUUGAUUUUAAAUAUGAAAGUCAGCCCCAAGGAGGUACCCGCUGACACUGCCUCUGAGCAUCUGUAUGUAAUUCCCCGCGACUUCAGCUUAGCUACCACAGAUGCUGUGUGGUUCUGCCUACCUGGGGAUUUUUCACUUUCAUUCACCCAAAUCCGAAACGGAUAGAAGAGUUUGGGACAGAGAAAUGCAUUUCUUUAUGGAGACAAGGUUGUGACGUAUGUGGACGAAAUAAGGAAGAGAAGCAUUGUGAAUGGAUUCGGGUAUUUGUGUGACACCGGAAAGUGGAUGAUAUUACUUCGUCUCCAUCACAACAGCCCUCUCUUUAACACAUAUCCAGGAUGUAGGUGAUGCGCGCACUCUCCCGAAGGUUCUGCACACAAAGAAAUCAGAGGAAUCCCGAUGUUCACCAGUAAAUGACAAGAGCCCAGGACGUCUAGUAAUCAGUCUUGGAGCUGACCAUUGAUCUCCAGGCAUCUGCUUCUGUGGUGGGUGUGCACCCUGAAUUCAAGUUACAAUCAAGUUAAGGAUUGAAAGAUUACUUCAAAUGUCUUUUAUUGCAGUCAGGUAUUUCCACAAUGAGGCUUCACAAAUAGAAAUACUUGAACAUAGCCCCCCCCCCCCUUUAUUUGUUGGUUUCAGAUGUUCAAAGUCAUUUCAAGGCUCGACUUUGUGGUUUCAUCCUUGUCUCCGCUCAAUACUUGUAUUGCGUAGUCAGGUGCUUUAUAACAAGGAAAGCCAAGAUUUCAGAAGCACCCCCAGCCCCAUGCUAUAGUAUAAAUUACUUGCAACUCAGAGACUGAGUGGAGAUCAGAACUUCGCCUGAGACUUGCUCACAGAAGAUACUGUGCUCUGCUCCGUGAUGAGGAACCUUCAUCCUCACGGGCAAGAAGUGUUCUCUGAGUGUGCUCUUUGCUCUACUUCCGUGCACCCACUGAGUAUUUCACACCCUUCUGAACUGGUGUACAGAGAUAGUGCCCCAGCCCGUGUGGACUAGCAAGAUGUGGUGUCCUAAUGAGAAUCUAGCUACAUCAACCCGGAGUGAUCAAGAGACCUGUGUGUCUAGUUUGGGGUUUAGUACAUAACAUCUACUGCCGCCCCCUUUAGCUGUCGCACACCUCCCUUGCUCUUGCACAGGUCUACUGUUGGUCAUCUAUCGGUUUUUUUUUUUUCUUUCUAUCUGUUGGACCUGGCUGUUGGUGAUCUCCCUGGGCAUGCGCGGACAGCAUUUUACUGGGUCUCCUCAGUGUCCCUCAGGCUCUCCUACCAGAAUAUUCUUGGAGGCCCAGAAUAAAUCAACCUUGGGCACUUUGGGCCACUUUCAGCGCCCAUGACCACCCGGUGCUUAGAGACCUUAUAAACCGAAGAUGCUGGAAUAGAGGAGAGCCAUGUCAUCUCCAAGAAGGGGCCUGUGAGGAAACUCCCCUUCCCAAGCAAGGGCACACAGUGCCCUAGGGAUCAAGUAGCCACAGAUCCCAGGAGUCUUAGCAAAAACCAGGAGGGCGGAGAUGUGUGAGGUGAGAGACAAGAAAUGAAGGAGUGGGUAGAAGAGGGUAGGAGAUGGAGAAGAGAGCCCUCCAGUGAGCCCUAGUGGACAUAGAGAUGCAGGACUUCAAGAAAGAGCAAGGGUCACUGAGGUCCAGGGCCCCUGGUUACUGAGAUCUGGAUCCAAGAGGUCAUGGGGGAAUCAGGAGAAUUUUUACUGAAAGGAAAAAUCUAAGACCAAAACCAAAACACAACCAGAAAGGCCUGCAGCUGGCUCGGGCCAGAAGGAAACCAAAAGCCUUUCUCUAAACUCCAAGGCCUCCUCUGGGGCGACCCCUUCUCUGGGUAAAUAUUUACUCAGUAGGAGACUGGAAGCUAGAGGACCAGAGGGUGUGAAGGAGGAGGUUACACCAGGAUUCUACACACUUGGCACCGGGCAGCCCACUGUGGAAGCCAAGCCCAGAAAUGCAGGGGCAGCUAGGCCCGCACAGUGCUGCGGAGUUUUAUCUCCAGGGCUUCUCCUCCUCUGUUGAACUCAACCCUGCCUCCAACGACCCAGGCUCGAUGCUUGUAAAGUCUUCAUAAAUCUGUCAGUGGUCCCAAUGCCACGGGCCCGCCACUUGCAGUGCACCAAGUCCCUUUGGGCACGAGCGAGGUCUGAGGAGAGAUGCGCAGGAAGUGGAAUCUAGCUCUUCCCACGGCGGCUCACAGAGUAUCCGGGCAGUCGCCGCCGCCAUCGGAAGGCAGCACUCUAGGCUGUGUGUGAGCACUCACUUGAUCUCGCCAGAAGCUUCAGGGGACUUCAAUUGGAGCCCACUGACUACCGAAGCGUUGCUUACUGGCUGUUCAGCCUUCCGCCAGAUGGAGGAACCUCGCAUACCGAGAAGGCUUCCUCCUCUGCGGCAGACUUCAGCCAGAGUUCCCUUCACCCCGGCACCUCAUCGCAGCGCCACCUACAGGCGCCGGAUUGACUCCAGCUCCGACAAGUCUGGGAAGGGCGUUUGCAAAUCGAAGGCUUCAAUUCACCUUAACAUUGUGCUGAAUUCUAAGUCGCGCACCGCGCUUCGUCACGCGCCAUCGCGUUAAACCCAAGCACCGAUCUUUUCACGUUACUGGAAACACCUAUCUCCCUCCCACACCCUACUUUGCAGGAUCUUUCACCGCCCUGGGGUGGGGGUGGGGGGCACUCAGGGUCAUGGAUUUUCCUUCCUCUAUGGGCUGGGAAAGCUAAAAACUGAAAAGAAGUUCCUCUAAAGGAAGGGAAGAGAAUGGUGGGCUGGUUCUUUGCUGGCUCAUCCCACUAUUUAGUGAGAGGCCACGAAGUCAAACAUGAUAGCCUUCCAAAGUGGCAGUGGCCUUUACAACGAUAAAACACGCGUGUAGAUCAAAUGUGAACACCUAAGACAUUUAAAGAAGGCCGCAUUACAUAUGAAACAAGAGGAAAGUGUGAAGCCCAGCUAGGCUCCCACUACCCUCGCUCUUUCCGGUUUCCCACUCUCCGGGAAUAGCUCAUUACUAAAGGCCCCAGAAAAGAAGAAGACUCCGCACUGCAGGUGUCUACAAUGGGAGUAAACACUCCCUACCCCCUCCACAUCUUAGGAAAGACAACCUCCCCUAAGCCAAACCCCAGAGCCUGUCAAAGAGGACCUGCUUCCUGGGACUCCUCACUAUGGACAGAAUGCCAGCUGAAUAGGUCAGGGUUGACCAGAAGAGAGCCAGAAAGCGCGCUUGAAUUCCAGCUGUUUGCUCUGACCCUCCCUAGGACUUGUGAGCCAGGGGCAAGAACGCAGAGUGCAGCCAGAAGGGGGACCACGCAUCUUCCAACGGUGCCCAGCCUCAUAGCAAAAAGAGGGCCAAGGCAGGACCAGAAGAAAUUUUGUUCUGCGGCUCAAUUUAUUUUGCGACUGGCAUGACCUGUCCACGGGAUGACAUGUUAACAUGUCAACCAAAGCACAGAAAAUAUUCACUUUUCUGGGGAUCUGUACUGGCAUCUGUUGUGUGUUUCUCCGUGGGUCACCGGAGCACUAUAGUGGGAACAAAAUCGGGAGAUGCCCUGAAACAAUACAAUUAGGACUGAUUAUUAGCACAGCUAGUGGGCCCGAGUGACCUGAAAGUGCCCGUGUUAGAUAAAGUUAGCUGCUUUCUCUGCGGAGUCCCUGCUACCACCGCCUUCCUUUCCUGGAGAUGCAUGGAGAAUCCAUUUCAAGUCAUCCCCUCCUUGCAUUACCCUGAAGACAGCGUAGAGAUGAACUAUUUCAUGUUUAAAACAUAAUGACAAAAUGACUUUAGUGGGCUCUGGGAGACGUGGCAAUCAAGUGAAGAGAAAGCGAUUUUUCCUGGAUUGGGAGACUUGCUUUGGCUGUGGACCACAGGCGAAUUCCUUCUGUUGUCGCCCCUAAAUGGGAGAUGAGCGAAGUCACUUCCCAGUUGACUAGAUUGAGGACAUUUCAAACAGGUAUUUUCAACUGAAUUUCCAGUCCAGACUAGGAUGUCUCAGCCCGCAUUUUGGCAUGGGUCAACGGAGCCCUGCAGGCUUCAAGCAGCUUAACAGCGGUCGACCCACCUGCAUCGGUCUCCAGCCAGGUGCCAACAAGCAGUGCUUCUUCUUGCUGCCUGCCCUUGACUCUCAUUGGAGAUUGGACAGGAGCAGGUAGGACCUUCUAUUGCAGAUUAUCUGCCCCAAGAAACUCCCUUCUGAGACCAGAGAAAACCUUUCCUUCUUACUUCUGCCAAAGCCUAUCUAAAAAAUUUCAGCCAAGCAGUCCCUGCUAAGGAGCCCACCUCCCCACUUUCUUGCUAGAGGCUCUGUGAGUGGCGUCUGAGCGAAUGGGAGAUGGUAAACCCAUCCCUCUACUACUGAAAAAAACGGGAUCUCUGGGGAAAUCGCUGAGGAACACACACACCAAGCAGUUUUCAAUAGAAAACCAAAGCUAGGGAAAACACACAAAACACCCCUCCACACAUCUAAUUCGUCUUUAAUAAACUAAGAUUAUACACUACAGUAUCAUACAAUUUCAGAGUAAACGAAUUUCGACACCAGGUGCAUUAGCUUUUAAGGUUCCCGGUUGAAGUGGAUUGCGGACAUUACAUGAUUUACCUUUCAAUAACAAAAUGCUGUAAGCUAGUGUGUAUUAGCUCACAUCUUUUUAGUCUCUUGCAGAGCUGAGGACUGAACCCAGGGCCUCAUACAUGCUGGGCAAGAACCCUUCUACUAAGAGCCCAGCUUGCCUAAAUUCUAUUUUAGUUGAAAACCAAACAAUAAUGUUGACUUUUGCUCUUUGCACAGACACAAAAAUAUUUUAACGAAUAUUAUUUAUAUAAUGAAACAAUAAACACAUCUAAUAAGACUGCCUGUGCAGUUUUAAAGAGAUACACAGAUGUUUAAGAGCACAUCUUAGUCAGGUAGCAUAUGACAAAACAUUUAAAUUUAAAAACCAAACCAACCAAACAAACAAACAAAAAACCAAAAAAAAAAAAAAAAAAACCCAAACAAACAAAUGGAAAACUCUUAAGUGAGAAGGGUGGGCCCAGAACACAAAAAGUAAGAGAGAGAUUUCUUGAGGGAGAGUUUAGGAAAAUAUCCGAGGGUGUUAAACAACAGGAACAAUUCUCAUAGUUCUUUACUUUUGGUACGAAGUCUUAUUAAAGUCUGUCUUACAGGAGGUUUUGGGGUAUUGAAGUGCUGUUGUUUGGAUUCUGUUGCUUCUCUCUAUCCAGCCUAGAAAUAAAAUGGUUGAGAGGGGGUAGGGUUGUGGUGGCUGGGGACCCAAAAUUCUGAACCAGUGCCCUGCAUAUAUUACAGCUGUGCCAGUAUUGCCAAUCUGGGCAGGCUCUCUGGGUAGAUCUGGAGGGCUGGGGAAAGAAGGGUUCUAUUUCCUGCAGGGUUGAGACAACAGCCCCAAGCAAUAGGUAAAGGGUGAGCCACUAUUUAGUGGGCUAGAAAGCCAAGGUCAUAGCUACACAGGACUGUUUUAAAGCCCCCUAGCACCUUUUGCAGGACCAGAGGUGUGAAUCUGAUGUUCUGGCGAGCUGACAACACAAAUUCCCUUAGCAGUUUUUAUUUGCCAGAGUGAUUCUAAUCCAGUCCCUUUGGGAUUUCCUUCUGCCACAACACAUGGUUCUGUUCUUAGAGACACCCUUUCACUAGGGGGAGAAAUAAUGAUCCCAUUACUGGAUGCUGGGGGUGGGAGGGAAUCAUUCAUAAUGUUGGUUUAAGGCAAAACAAAAAACAAAAUAACAAAAACAAACAAACAAACAACCCUGAAAGUCAAAGAAUAGAAAAUUCAAGAUUCUGUUGUUUGGGUUAAGUCCCCCUAGCUUCCUGACUGUGUAAAGCAUGGGACAUUUACAAGUCUUCCUAGCCAGGCUACUCUAACAUCCAGGGCAGCUGCCACUGCCACUGUUGUUUAAAAGAAAAGGCAUCCCAGCCUACCAGCCUGGGCAGAUUCCUUUUGCAAUGUAAAUGUAUCAGGCCAGCAGAUUUCAGAGUUGCUAGAUGAAAGUAUCACAUUGUAUAUAUUGGGAAAUAGGUUUAAAACUAAAGAUAGCAAAUGAGUUUAUAAUUCACAUUUUAAACGUCCAUUUAAAAACAACAACAACAGAGAGACAAACAGGUGGCCAUUACUUACAGACAGCUCAGAUACAGAAUGUUCAUCAUUCAAAAUCUGUUCUAGACACUUCCUCAACCCUGACACACACAAGAAGUUCCCAAGGGGGAACUAAUAUAAGUAGGUGCAGUUUCUUUGGUUUUUCACUUUCUCGGUUUUUGCAUCCAAAGUGAGCCCCUUCCCCCCAGACAAGGAUCUAUAGCAGAAAGUUAUGCUAUUUAUUAAAGUUCUGGAAAUUCCAAUAUAGCUAAAUUAUUUAAAGAUUAUGACCUCCAAAAUCA
Long non-coding RNA from Mus musculus (house mouse), 6534 nucleotides. RefSeq annotates it as predicted gene 15524. The record is from RefSeq and is a predicted model, not a curated record. NCBI's taxonomy places the organism in Eukaryota, Metazoa, Chordata, Mammalia, Rodentia, Muridae. The transcript is spliced from 3 exons.